CCGGCUAAUGUUUGCCACCUCUGUGCCCCCCCCAACUAAGGUGAAUAAUUUUUGCCGGCAAAUUUUUGCCAGCUUUGUGCUUCCCAGCUAAUUAUUUAUGCCGGCUAUUGACUGUGUGGCUAUAGAUGUGGAUUACUAGGAUUACCCAGGUAUUUUUUGCAUUGUUUCGAUCAAGUUGUAGCUGUUUUUUAACAGGUUAAUUCCUUCCUACAUGAUAUCAACCAGGUGACAUCGUAUUAAACUUCAGAAAGAAGUUUUGGCAAUUUGACCUGUUUGAAUCCUAACAAGUGCUUCUGCUGACUCAUGCUAGAUGGUUUCUAGUUUCUCAAUGUGCAACUAUGGUGGAUAUCAGAACUUCUUGCAUAUUUCUGAUUACUGAUGGAGGUCUUUUUCUUUGUUCCACUAUAUAACCAAGGUACCUUUUCCUUAUUCUGAUGACUAACCAAACUUCAUGUUGAAUUGUUUUAAUGUAUAAUAUUGUUCUUCAGACUAACCCAGGUGUUUUUUUGCAUUGUUCCCAAAACUAACCCAGGUAUUUUUUUGCAUUGUUCCCAAGACUAACCCAGGUAUUUUUUUGCAUUGUUCCCAAGACUAACCCAGGUAUUUUUUGCAUUGUUCCCAAGACUAACCCAGGUAUUUUUUUGCAUUGUUCCCAAGACUAACCCAGGUAUUUUUUGCAUUGUUCCCAAGACUAACCCAGGUAUUUUUUGCAUUGUUCCCAAAACUAACCCAGGUAUUUUUUGCAUUGUUCCCAAGACUAACCCAGGUAUUUUUUGCAUUGUUCCCAAGACUAACCCAGGUAUUUUUUUGCAUUGUUCCCAAGACUAACCCAGGUAUUUUUUGCAUUGUUCCCAAGACUAACCCAGGUAUUUUUUUGCAUUGUUCCCAAGACUAACCCAGGUAUUUUUUGCAUUGUUCCCAAGACUAACCCAGGUAUUUUUUGCAUUGUUCCCAAAACUAACCCAGGUAUUUUUUGUAUUGUUCCCAAAACUAACCCAGGUAUUUUUUGUAUUGUUCCCAAGACUUGCCAGGUGUUUUUUGUAUUGUUCCCAAGACUUGCCAGGUGUUUUUUGCAUUGUUCCCAAGACUAACCCAGGUGUUUUUUGCAUUGUUCCCAAGGCUAACCCAGAUAUGUUUUUUGCAUUGUUCCCAAAACUAACCCAGAUAUGUUUUGUAUUGUUCCCAAGACUAACCCAGAUAUGUUUUUUGCAUUGUUCCCAAAACUAACCCAGGUUUGUUUUUUGUAUUGUUCCCAAGACUAACCCAGGUGUUUUUUUGCAUUGUUCUUCAGACUAACCCAGAUGUUUUUUUGCAUUGUUCUUCAGACUAACCCAGGUGUUUUUUGCAUUGUUCCCAAGACUAACCAGAUAUGUUUUUUUGCGUUGUUCCCAAAACUAACCCAAGUAUGUUUUUUGCAUUGUUCCCAAGACUAACCCAGGUAUUUUUUGCAUUGUUUCGAUCAAGUUGUAGCUGUUUUUUCACAGGUUAAUUCCUUCCUACAUGAUAUCAACCAGGUGACAUCGUAUUAAACUUCAGAAAGAAGUUUUGGCAAUUUGACCUGUUUGAAUCCUACCAAGUGCUUCUGCUGACUCAUGCUAGAUGGUUUCUAGUUUUCAAUGUGCAACUAUGGCAGAUGUCAGAACUAUCAGAACUUCUUGCAUUGUUCUGAUCACUGAUACAGGUCUUUUCCUUUGUUCUGAUUACUGAUGGAUCUUUUUCUUUGUUCCACUAUAUAACCAAGGUACCUUUUCCUUAUUCUGAUGACUACCCAACACUUCAUGUUGAAUUGUUUUAAUGUAUAACAUUGUUCUUCAGACUAACCCAGGUGUUUUUUGCAUUUUCCAAAAACUAACCCUUUAUUUUUGUGCAUUGUUACCAAGACUAACCCAUGUAUUUUUUUUGCGUUGUUCCGAUCAAGUCUAAGCUGUUUUUUUUACAGGUUAAUUCCUUCCUACAUGAUAUCAACCAGGUGACAUCGUAUUGAACUUCCGAAGACCUGUUUGAAAUCCUACCUAGUGCUUCCGCUGACUCAUGCUAGAUGGUUUUAGUUUUUUUACACGUGCAUCUAUGGAGGACAUAACAGCGCUUUACCUUCAAGACGCCGGGGUUCCUGGUACGAUGGUAAAUCAGUGACUCAUCCAGCUCAGAGUUUCACCGCUCGCUCAGGAGCUACGCCCGGAUGUUGAACGCUUCCAGCUGUACCUACGGAUGACCAGUGCCCAAUUCU
RNAcentral lists this long non-coding RNA (2227 nucleotides) under Gouania willdenowi (blunt-snouted clingfish). RNAcentral describes it as "lncRNA (ENSGWIG00000020457.1)". Lineage: Eukaryota; Metazoa; Chordata; Actinopteri; Blenniiformes; Gobiesocidae. The record is from RNAcentral.